Molecule: ribosomal RNA, 939 nt
Filed under: uncultured bacterium
Lineage: Bacteria
Description: bacterial SSU rRNA
Rfam family: Bacterial small subunit ribosomal RNA
Source: RNAcentral
AAUACGAAGGGACCUAGCGUAGUUCGGAAUUACUGGGCUUAAAGAGUUCGUAGGUGGUUGAAAAAGUUAGUGGUGAAAUCCCAGAGCUUAACUCUGGAACUGCCAUUAAAACUUUUCAGCUAGAGUAUGAUAGAGGAAAGCAGAAUUUCUAGUGUAGAGGUGAAAUUCGUAGAUAUUAGAAAGAAUACCAAUUGCGAAGGCAGCUUUCUGGAUCAUUACUGACACUGAGGAACGAAAGCAUGGGUAGCGAAGAGGAUUAGAUACCCUCGUAGUCCAUGCCGUAAACGAUGUGUGUUAGACGUUGGAAAUUUAUUUUCAGUGUCGCAGCGAAAGCGAUAAACACACCGCCUGGGGAGUACGACCGCAAGGUUAAAACUCAAAUGAAUUGACGGGGACCCGCACAAGUAGUGGAGCAUGUGGUUUAAUUCGAAGAUACGCGCAGAACCUUACCAACACUUGACAUGUUCGUCGCGACUCUAAGAGAUUAGAGUUUUCGGUUCGGCCGGACGAAACACAGGUGCUGCAUGGCUGUCGUCAGCUCGUGUCGUGAGAUGUUGGGUUAAGUCCCGCAACGAGCGCAACCCUCACUUUUAGUUGCCAUCAUUAAGUUGGGCACUCUGAAAGAACUGCCAGUGAUAAGCUGGAGGAAGGUGGGGAUGACGUCAAGUCCUCAUGGCCCUUACGUGUUGGGCUACACACGUGCUACAAUGGUAUCUACAACAGGAAGCAAGACUGCGAGGUCAAGCAAAUCCUUAAAAGAUACCUCAGUUCGGAUUGCACUCUGCAACUCGAGUGCAUGAAGCUGGAAUUACUAGUAAUCGUGGAUCAGCGUGCCACGGUGAAUGCGUUCCCGGGUCUUGUACACACCGCCCGUCACACCAUGGGAGUUGGUUCUACCUUAAGGCAAGGUUUAAAACCCUUGACCACGGUAUAGUCAGC